Molecule: ribosomal RNA, 468 nt
Filed under: uncultured bacterium
Lineage: Bacteria
Description: partial 16S ribosomal RNA
Rfam family: Bacterial small subunit ribosomal RNA
Source: RNAcentral
GACGAACGCUGGCGGCGUGCUUAACACAUGCAAGUCGAACGGAAAGGCCCGGCUUUGGGGGGCUGCGGGAGGUGCGAAGGGGGGAGUAACACGUGGGUAACCUGUCCUUGACUGUGGGAGAAGUUCAUGAAACUGGGGCUAAUACCGGAUAGGAGCUCCUGCUGCAGGGUGGGGGCUGGAAAGUUUCGGCGGUUGGGGCGGGACUCGCGGCCUAUCGGCUUGUUGGUGGGGUAGUGGCUUACCAAGGCUUGGGCGGGUGGCCGGCCUGGGAGGGUGACCGGCCACAUUGGGCCUGAGCUACGGCCCAGACUCCUACGGGAGGCAGCAGUGGGGAAUGUUGCACAAUGGGCGGAGGCCUGAUGCAGCAACGCCGCGUGCGGGAUGACGGCCUUCGGGUUGUAAACCGCAUUCGCCUGUGACGAAGCGUGAGUGACGGUAAUGGGUAAAGAAGCACCGGCUAACUACGUG